GACGAACGCUGGCGGCGUGCUUAACACAUGCAAGUCGAACGGAAAGGCCCUGCUUUUGUGGGGUGCUCGAGUGGCGAACGGGUGAGUAACACGUGAGUAACCUGCCCUUGACUUUGGGAUAACUUCAGGAAACUGGGGCUAAUACCGGAUAGGAGCUCCUGCUGCAUGGUGGGGGUUGGAAAGUUUCGGCGGUUGGGGAUGGACUCGCGGCUUAUCAGCUUGUUGGUGGGGUAGUGGCUUACCAAGGCUUUGACGGGUAGCCGGCCUGAGAGGGUGACCGGCGACAUUGGGACUGAGAUACGGCCCAGACUCCUACGGGAGGCAGCAGUGGGGAAUAUUGCACAAUGGGCGGAAGCCUGAGGCAGAAACGCCGCGUGCGGGAUGACGGCCUUCGGGUUGUAAACCGCUUUCGCCUGUGACGAAGCGUGAGUGACGGUAAUGGGUAAAGAAGCACCGGCUAACUACGUG
This 468-nucleotide ribosomal RNA is filed under the name uncultured bacterium. RNAcentral's name for it is "partial 16S ribosomal RNA". It matches the Rfam family "Bacterial small subunit ribosomal RNA", at positions 28 to 507 of the family's 1533-position model. The record is from RNAcentral.